Molecule: ribosomal RNA, 763 nt
Filed under: uncultured Streptococcus sp.
Lineage: Bacteria; Bacillati; Bacillota; Bacilli; Lactobacillales; Streptococcaceae
Description: bacterial SSU rRNA
Rfam family: Bacterial small subunit ribosomal RNA
Source: RNAcentral
GACGAACGCUGGCGGCGUGCCUAAUACAUGCGAGUAGAACGCUGAAGGAGGAGCUUGCUUCUCUGGAUGAGUUGCGAACGGGUGAGUAACGCGUAGGUAACCUGCCUGGUAGUGGGGGAUAACUAUUGGAAACGAUAGCUAAUACCGCAUAACAGUAGAUGUUGCAUGACAUUUGCUUAAAAGGUGCAAUUGCAUCACUACCAGAUGGACCUGCGUUGUAUUAGCUAGUUGGUGGGGUAACGGCUCACCAAGGCGACGAUACAUAGCCGACCUGAGAGGGUGAUCGGCCACACUGGGACUGAGACACGGCCCAGACUCCUACGGGAGGCAGCAGUAGGGAAUCUUCGGCAAUGGACGGAAGUCUGACCGAGCAACGCCGCGUGAGUGAAGAAGGUUUUCGGAUCGUAAAGCUCUGUUGUAAGAGAAGAACGAGUGUGAGAGUGGAAAGUUCACACUGUGACGGUAUCUUACCAGAAAGGGACGGCUAACUACGUGCCAGCAGCCGCGGUAAUACGUAGGUCCCGAGCGUUGUCCGGAUUUAUUGGGCGUAAAGCGAGCGCAGGCGGUUAGAUAAGUCUGAAGUUAAAGGCUGUGGCUUAACCAUAGUACGCUUUGGAAACUGUUUAACUUGAGUGCAAGAGGGGAGAGUGGAAUUCCAUGUGUAGCGGUGAAAUGCGUAGAUAUAUGGAGGAACACCGGUGGCGAAAGCGGCUCUCUGGCUUGUAACUGACGCUGAGGCUCGAAAGCGUGGGGAGCAAACAGG